AUGCCAUGGUGUGGACACUUCCUUAACAACUCCUUGAACCGCAUGAAAGCUUCAUGAAAUUUCUCCCCUGAAUGCUGUUGGAAGGCUCUUAUUGCUUCCCGAGCUU
RNAcentral lists this small nucleolar RNA (106 nucleotides) under Helianthus annuus (common sunflower). RNAcentral describes it as "Plant small nucleolar RNA R71". It matches the Rfam family "Plant small nucleolar RNA R71". Rfam says of the family: R71 is a member of the C/D box family of snoRNAs containing the C (UGAUGA) and D (CUGA) box motifs. The record is from RNAcentral. Lineage: Eukaryota; Viridiplantae; Streptophyta; Magnoliopsida; Asterales; Asteraceae.